Molecule: ribosomal RNA, 506 nt
Filed under: uncultured bacterium
Lineage: Bacteria
Description: partial 16S ribosomal RNA
Rfam family: Bacterial small subunit ribosomal RNA
Source: RNAcentral
AGUGAACGCUGGCGGUAGGCCUAACACAUGCAAGUCGAACGGCAGCACAGGAGAGCUUGCUCUCUGGGUGGCGAGUGGCGGACGGGUGAGGAAUACAUCGGAAUCUACUUUUUCGUGGGGGAUAACGUAGGGAAACUUACGCUAAUACAGCAUACGACCUACGGGUGAAAGCAGGGGACCUUCGGGCCUUGCGCGAUUGAAUGAGCUGAUGUCGGAUUAGCUAGUUGGUGGGGUAAAGGCCCACCAAGGCGACGAUCCGUAGCUGGUCUGAGAGGAUGAUCAGCCACACUGGAACUGAGACACGGUCCAGACUCCUACGGGAGGCAGCAGUGGGGAAUAUUGGACAAUGGGCGCAAGCCUGAUCCAGCCAUACCGCGUGGGUGAAGGAGGCCUUCGGGUUGUAAAGCCCUUUUGUUGGGAAAGAAAUCCAGCUGGCUAAUACCCGGUUGGGAUGACGGUACCCAAAGAAUAAGCACCGGCUAACUUCGUGCCAGCAGCCGCCGUAA